This is a long non-coding RNA of Malaya genurostris, 5604 nucleotides long. RefSeq lists it as uncharacterized. The record is from RefSeq and is a predicted model, not a curated record. The transcript is spliced from 5 exons. NCBI's taxonomy places the organism in Eukaryota, Metazoa, Arthropoda, Insecta, Diptera, Culicidae.
UUGUGCAGGCUCGCAGUGUGUGUGAAUUUUCGAGCUAUCAAAAUAGGAAUAUGCAUCGAAAAGUUGACAAACAUUGAAUACAUAUCUUGGAUAAGUUUAUACCUAUUUUCUGCUUAUAUUUACCUAAUGUUUGAAAGAUAAUUCAACUAUCAAAUGUGCUUAACAAAAAGACCAAACAUAAAGUUAUUGUUACUGGUAGAGUUUAUGUCUCGAAAAGUAUUAAAUUUCUUUAACAGGAAAAAGGCGUUUUAUCAGUCUGAGAAUUUUAUGUGUAUGGAAGAUCGAAUUAAACGGCGAGACACAUUAAAGGGUUUUCUGCUUGAAUACAUAUUAGAACAACGAAUCCACGAAACCAAUCCCAUUUGCAUAUCUUUUCUAAAAGCUGAACUGGUUUUAUUUCAUCGUCGCAUUUUGGUGAUCAAGAUGAAAUGAGAAUAUUAUUCACGACACUCGAAAGGCCAGAUCCAGAGUAUUCUAGACUCCCUGCCCCAUGGAAGUUGAUGUGUGCCACCGUGGACUGUUACAUAAUCCUGUGGAUUAAUGGUGGUUUCAUUAUGCAGAGGUUCCGCAUGUCGUUUGCUCGCUACAACCACAGUUACAUUAACAAACCCGACGCUCAAUGAACGAUUAGAUGGAAUUGUUACCAUUUUCCGUUCUGAAUGAAGGGCGCACUUGAGUGGGUAUAUAUCGCUCAAGAUAGUUAUCGCGACACGAGAUGGAGUAACGACCGUUCGUUGGUUGGCUGUUCUGAGAGUGCAUGGUCUAAUAUUAUGAUGAGUGAUUCUACAACAACAGAUGGAUAUUAGCAUUAUUGAUUUGGUUGGUUUCGUAGAUUAACGAGACCAUAAUGUACACAUCGUUUAGUUGCAUAAUGAACAGACAGUAACCUGAUUUUGGUAAUAACUGACGUUUGUCAAAUUUGCGAUUACCUGACCUCUCAUCAAUUUAACAUUUGGUUGAGAUGAUUACCGAGUACUCGGCGGUGCAAAGAUUCCGCGAAAAAAGGUGUGUAUGUGAUAUCUGCGGUUUCACUUAGCUGUGUGGAUUUUGUUGUGUAGGCCCACGUGUGAUGUGUUGUGCAGGCUCGCAGUGUGUGUGAAUUUUCGAGCUAUCAAAAUAGGAAUAUGCAUCGAAAAGUUGACAAACAUUGAAUACAUAUCUUGGAUAAGUUUAUACCUAUUUUCUGCUUAUAUUUACCUAAUGUUUGAAAGAUAAUUCAACUAUCAAAUGUGCUUAACAAAAAGACCAAACAUAAAGUUAUUGUUACUGGUAGAGUUUAUGUCUCGAAAAGUAUUAAAUUUCUUUAACAGGAAAAAGGCGUUUUAUCAGUCUGAGAAUUUUAUGUGUAUGGAAGAUCGAAUUAAACGGCGAGACACAUUAAAGGGUUUUCUGCUUGAAUACAUAUUAGAACAACGAAUCCACGAAACCAAUCCCAUUUGCAUAUCUUUUCUAAAAGCUGAACUGGUUUUAUUUCAUCGUCGCAUUUUGGUGAUCAAGAUGAAAUGAGAAUAUUAUUCACGACACUCGAAAGGCCAGAUCCAGAGUAUUCUAGACUCCCUGCCCCAUGGAAGUUGAUGUGUGCCACCGUGGACUGUUACAUAAUCCUGUGGAUUAAUGGUGGUUUCAUUAUGCAGAGGUUCCGCAUGUCGUUUGCUCGCUACAACCACAGUUACAUUAACAAACCCGACGCUCAAUGAACGAUUAGAUGGAAUUGUUACCAUUUUCCGUUCUGAAUGAAGGGCGCACUUGAGUGGGUAUAUAUCGCUCAAGAUAGUUAUCGCGACACGAGAUGGAGUAACGACCGUUCGUUGGUUGGCUGUUCUGAGAGUGCAUGGUCUAAUAUUAUGAUGAGUGAUUCUACAACAACAGAUGGAUAUUAGCAUUAUUGAUUUGGUUGGUUUCGUAGAUUAACGAGACCAUAAUGUACACAUCGUUUAGUUGCAUAAUGUAAAUUAGCGAGAGCUAAUUUGGUAAUUUAGUUUUCCAAGUGGCAAAAAUGGUUUCUCUAACAUCUAAAUUAUGCACAUUUUAGGUAUAUCAAUGUUACCUUAAGUUUCUGAUUGAUAGCUUGAUUAUCACAAAUCGGAAUGAAGUAGAUUGAGAAGCGGGAGGGGGGGGGGGGGGGGGGGGGGAAUGUUCAUGUUCAUGUUCAUGGAAUAGAAACAGGAAAAUUUGUUUGGACGUAAACUAGCCAAAUCUACAAAUCAAAACACCCUGUAGCUCCGAAACCGGAAGUAGUACAAGGCAAGAGUAGUGAUUAUUACACCAAUGGGUGCAUUGCAGCAGAUUUCAACACAUGUGACUGAUUUACGGUUUCCAAAGCAAGCUAUGCGAAUGGAGAAGAAAAAUUCAAGAAGCCCGAAUAUUUAUACGAGGUUUGUUCAAAAAGUAUCACGAACUUUAAAUUCGAUGUUCGAUUAUUAUUCCAAAAUCGCUAAAUUUCACCCAAAAACAGAAUUAAAAUUGCUCGCUCAGGCAAAAUAAGUAGUGAAAAUCAAACUAAAAAUCACCAUUUCAAAAGAAUCAUAUGAAAAAUAUACCUCUAUUAUAAUGUUUAUGACCCUGCAGUAUACAUCUCAUCUAUCACUAUUAUAGUUUUAUGAACAACAGUACACAGUACACAGAUAAAAAUAUUUACAUCUAUUUUCAUGUACAUAUUUGAAGCAGGAAAUUUAUUAUAAAGUUACUCCUCAGGUCUUCACUUUUUAAUAUACUUUGAAGGCAAAAUCAAGCGUAAAUGAAAAUAUGUUGUAUAAUUCAUUUGAAAAUCAAGGCAUUCUAAUUUACUUUUACAUCGAUGAUGGUUUUCAAUCGAAUUUUUGAUUCAACUGAUGUCUAUUUCAAAGUAUCAUUGAAUUACAUGUUAUGUAAAUUUCAUUAUUUUUUCUGUGUAAAUGGAAGUUAUGAGAAGUUGUGUUUGUCAUAGAAAUUUCGCACAAUGUUUCUAAAAAUUUGAAUGAAUGAAAUUCAUAAGGCUUUUUAUUGGAAUUCAAAUUUUCGUGACUACAUAGGGCGAUCUUAUGAUUCGUAUAUGAUAUUCUGUGUGUGCCUGAGUGUUGGAUUCUGUCCGUAACUACCCAAAAAUGCUCCAGAGAGUCAUAACUGGUGACAAAUCAUCAAAGACAAGCUAAAACACUCCCAGGCAGAAUAGCUGUCGAAAACUGACUGGGCAUUCAAAGUUGUUAACAUAAGUAAGGGUCAUGAAUACCAACAUAAUGCCACCAAAUAAUCAAAAAUCGAACAUACGUAGCUCGCGAAAAUUCAAAAUUCGCGAUACUUUUUGAAAAAAAAAAACUCGUAUUAAAUAUCGUAAGUUGGGAUUCAACAAACAAUGCUCAUGAUAUGAUCGUGUUACAAUAGCAAGAUCUAGUCUCCAUUGCGUCGGUGCGAUAUUAAUUACGGUGUUUUGCACGUUCCGGUAAACCGAGAGGAAGGUUUUAAUUGUCUUCAUAAUCUGCGUAAAUCACGUUUGCGUGUUGUAUCACACAUCUUGAUGAUAGAACAGUGUGACAAGCAAGCAUGACACGUAAAUCGAUAUGUGGGUAAUAUCGGUAAGUGCCUAUCAAGCCAAUCGAAACCAAGCCUCCCACAGUGUUCUGAAUGGGAGCGAUUAGAUGUCGAGAGAUUAAAUCACAAUUAACGAUGAUUGAUUACAGCUAACGGUUUGAUGGUCACGAAACUCAAUUUUUCGUGCAAAUACAAAUAUCCAUGCUGCUACUGUAUACGAAGGCAGUGUUAUAGCAACCGUUAUUUAAGGCGAAUAGGAAAGUUUUGGAAUGCAAAGGAAUUUAUUGUAUGCAAUUGGAAUGUAAUCUUAUCAUCGACGAACAAAACUGCUGCAAAAGAAAUACCAAAGCCAUGUCUAAUAUCGCGAUAAUAAUUGGUUCCACCCAACCUUCAAUGAAAAUUUUAUCACCUAACAGUAUAGUAAUAUUUUCUAUACAGUAAUCAAUGUAAAAUUUAAAAAUGUGUAUGUGUUGUAAACCAUGCACGACAACAAUGAUAAUGAAAAAAUUUAACAUCCAGAAGCGAGUAACUUCGAGGGCCUAUUGAACCUAUUGGUAUGUUACUAUUGAACACUGCCAAAUUUAUUUAAAAAAGCUAUCACCAAAAUAAAUAAAUAAAUAGUCAGUGUAGACAACGUCCUUCAAGUUUAAUUUCAUUUAUGAAAAUAGAACGUUAAGUUAAAAUGUGCAUUCUGAAACGUGUAUCAAAAUCUGAUGUCUUUGUUACAUAAUAUCGCCUAUAUGUGAAUCCUUGUAAAGCAUUUGAGUGCAGCGAAUUUUGUUCACAACAUAAGUCUAAUAUACCACUACAAUUUCUUAAAUAUUCAUGAUACGAAUUACACUCUGCUUCGAGAACAAAUAUAUAAAUGUUUAACGGAGGGAUAGCCUAUUUCAUACGAGAAAAGUAAUAACAAUCAAGAAUGCGACUGCCUUCGACAAACAAACGGCGUCUCAUUACGAGGGUAUGUUAACAGGACAAGAUUAUAAUGUAUAGAAAAAGUAUCAACGGUUAUUUACGAGGUGAGAAAGUUAUAGUAAUUUAGUAUGGAACAGUAGAUUUUACAUUUGAGAAUAUAACAAAUUUUGAAAAUAAAAACAUAUGUAUCGAUGCCAUUAGGAUAAGCUAGCAUUUCUCUAAUCUAUAAACAUUCAAUAAAUAGAAAAAUUCGGAUGACAAACAAUAUGGUACUUUGUAGAAACGUGUGGACAUUGUAGAAUCAACAAGCGAAAGGCAAUGAUAUCAGUGUGAUAGUUGAUCAAAAUUAGACUUAUUGGUUAAAAAUUACAGGUUCGUAUGGUCGUUGAUAUUUUAAUAUGAUAUGAAGAGUCAUUAUUCUGCUAGAAAAUCUUACAUCAGAUUAUAAUAAGGAAGUGCAGUUUAACCAUCUAACAAUAUAGUAGUAGGUAGUAAUUAUCCUUAGCAUAAGAGGGGCCCAAAGAACAAAAUGCAUUCACGCAGAUACCGAAGAAUGUUGAUUAGUUUAUCUUCUAACGCAAACAAUACAAACCAAUGCCGACAAAUCAAAUCAUAAUAAUCAUGUCAAUUAUCAGGUUUCGAUUCUGACGAUGCUUUGCUCGAACUUUGGCCGCUUCGCAACCCAUUGAUGUUACUGACCCCCGUCUGACCCUCUGACUUCAAUACAAUCCUGGGCAGCAAUUUCCUUCGCCCUCACUCAUUGGGAGCCAAUUUUAUUUCAAAUUCUCACAUUAAUUCCUGUUGCUACCGCGCUCUCUCGGUUAUUGCUUGGUGUCGAUCACUAUCAUUAUUUUUUUUUAGCUUUGUUAAAUUGGAAGGCCGAACUGUAAAGUUGCUGAAGCAGCAAGCUAGACGACUUGAGUCGGAUGACCACAGCGAGCGGAACAUUUGAUCUCAGUAGUCCAUGUUUCAUCGACCGAAAAGAGUAAGUGUGGGUGCAUAUAAUAUUCUAACUCUUUCAAAUAAUCGUUUCCUAUUCAUUCGCAGAGUGAAAAAAUCUGAUUGGAAGUAAUGUAAGAUUUGAUUAUUCAUAUCUUUAGCAUCAUUGUCUUAUUAUUUUGUUUACGUUAGGUCGAUCAGGUCAGCCCUCAGUAUCUUAGAGCUUCUGCCAUGUAAAUUAGU